ACAAACUUUUCUAUUGAAAUACUAGGAAUAAUUAAAACUGAUUGCGAGGGAAGUGACGCAGUAUACAGACUACCAUCUGAUUGAUUUUAAGGGAAGGUGAUACAUAAGAGGAUGGAGUUAUCUACUUUGGUUGAGAACGAGGGAAUAUCUAUUUCUAAAAUUUAUUUCCUUCAUUCUUGCCUUUGGGCUUUUCCUUGGGCCUUUU
This 205-nucleotide long non-coding RNA is filed under the name Lathyrus oleraceus (garden pea). Its description in RNAcentral is "Pisum sativum (pea) long non-coding RNA (PSAT_LNC023693)". Lineage: Eukaryota; Viridiplantae; Streptophyta; Magnoliopsida; Fabales; Fabaceae. The record is from RNAcentral.